This 430-nucleotide ribosomal RNA is filed under the name Acidobacteriota bacterium. Its description in RNAcentral is "Acidobacteria bacterium partial 16S ribosomal RNA". It matches the Rfam family "Bacterial small subunit ribosomal RNA", at positions 355 to 776 of the family's 1533-position model. The record is from RNAcentral. Lineage: Bacteria; Pseudomonadati; Acidobacteriota.
UGGGGAAUAUUGGACAAUGGGCGCAAGCCUGAUCCAGCCAUGCCGCGUGUGUGAAGAAGGCCUUUUGGUUGUAAAGCACUUUAAGCGAGGAGGAGGCUACUUGGAUUAAUACUCUAGGAUAGUGGACGUUACUCGCAGAAUAAGCACCGGCUAACUCUGUGCCAGCAGCCGCGGUAAUACAGAGGGUGCGAGCGUUAAUCGGAUUUACUGGGCGUAAAGCGUGCGUAGGCGGCUUCUUAAGUCGGAUGUGAAAUCCCUGAGCUUAACUUAGGAAUUGCAUUCGAUACUGGGAAGCUAGAGUAGGGGAGAGGAUGGUAGAAUGCCAAGUGUAGAGAUGAAAUGCGUAGAGAUCUGGAGGAAUACCGAUGGCGAAGGCAGCCAUCUGGCCUAAUACUGACGCUGAGGUACGAAAGCAUGGGGAGCAAACAGG